This is an unclassified non-coding RNA of Callithrix jacchus (white-tufted-ear marmoset), 298 nucleotides long. It matches the Rfam family "Metazoan signal recognition particle RNA". Rfam says of the family: The signal recognition particle (SRP) is a universally conserved ribonucleoprotein. It is involved in the co-translational targeting of proteins to membranes. The record is from Ensembl. Lineage: Eukaryota; Metazoa; Chordata; Mammalia; Primates; Cebidae.
GCUGGGCACGGUGGCACGUGCCUGUAGUCCCAGCUACUCAGGAGGCUGAGGUGGGAGGAUCGCUUGAGCCCAGGACUUCUGGGCUGUAGCACUAUGCUGAUUGGGUGUCCGCACUAAGUUUGGCAUCAAUAUGAUGACCUCCCAGGGGCGGGGUACUACCAGAUUGCCUAAGGAGGGGUGAACCAGCCCAGGUCAGAAACAGAGCAGGUCAAAACUCCCGUGCUGAUCAGUAGUGGGAUCACACCUAUGAAUAGCCAUUUCACUCCAGUCUGGGCAAAAUAGUGAGACCCCAUCUCUA